CUGAUGGUGCUGGGGAUGUAGUCCUCUUCGGCGUGGACCGUGCCAUCUCCCCCUCCUUCAAUGGAGGGGGCGGGGGGAUGCGAAGAUCUGAUUUUUUUUAAAGGGGAGAAAAUAAAUGGACGAGGCCGUUGGGACGUCACUACCUGCGCCGCUCGUGGUUGCGCUGAUCUGGGAUGCCAGCCGAGGAACCACCGGAUCCUCAACUGCAAAAAGGAUCGUGUUAGAAGUUGGAAUGACAGAUGCCUCAAACAUGGUUCAUAAAGGGCCAACGUACAUGAGUGUGUUUGUGUAUUCAGGCCUGAGGGGUUGUCUGUUAUCUUUGGUUAUCUAGCUGUAUGAGUGACGUACAUUCUUCAUAAAGCUAGAUAACCGAAAGUAACAAGAAUCCCAUUACAUGCCUGCAUCUCUGAAGGAAAAUCAACAUGGGCACAUGUGCUAUGACAUGAGGAAAACAAGGGUGUUUGGACACUUAUUCCUGGACUAUGAAAGCUGUCACAAGUGAGAAAACAACAAAUGGACAAACAGUCAUCAGUCUGACUGGAUGGACAAUGUGAAACACUUUCGUAAUAUAUGCAUUAUGACACACUCGCAUUGUCAAAUCAUUGUCUUCUUAGUUAAAACUCCUUAGCGCGUAGGUUGAUUUGUAGACUUAAGUGGCAAAUGUCUUAUUUUACUAGAUUUACUUCAGAUUUACUUCAGUGUACAACAAUGGUGAUUUUAUCAUUUGAUUUUAACAAGCAAAUGUUUGACAAUCUAUGUGACUAAAAUACAAUCUGGUGUAUAGUACAGUACAUGUUCUGUAUUUGUUUUUGUGCACCUGGAGUGCUUAAAAUCACUGUGCAAUGUUCAUCUAUGCAAAAUGUAGUUUUGCCCUUUGGGUGCUUUGCACAAAUGUUUGUUGGGUUUGCACAUGAAGUGUUGUUUCAUGUUCCGAAACUUAAUUUCGUCUAGAGAACGAGCACGUGUGCAAUUACUGUAAAGAUUUUCUGAGUUUAUUUGAUUUCGAUAAUAUUUUCAUAUUCUUGUGUUGUACUGUACUGUAUGUGAUGAUAUUCAUUUGUGAGAUUUUCUAAAAUGCACUGUGACAUAAUGUUGCACAUGUCCUGAGCUCUAUUUGCACAUAACUUUGUACUAUGCAAUUUUUUUGUUACUAUUGUUGAGACACUUAAUAAAAAAAUG
Molecule: long non-coding RNA, 1179 nt
Organism: Corythoichthys intestinalis (scribbled pipefish)
Lineage: Eukaryota; Metazoa; Chordata; Actinopteri; Syngnathiformes; Syngnathidae
Exons: 4
Source: RefSeq, a predicted model, not a curated record